Molecule: ribosomal RNA, 582 nt
Filed under: uncultured bacterium
Lineage: Bacteria
Description: bacterial SSU rRNA
Rfam family: Bacterial small subunit ribosomal RNA
Source: RNAcentral
CCUACGGGAGGCAGCAGUAAGGAAUAUUGGACAAUGCUCGCAAGAGUGAUCCAGCCAUGCCGCGUGCAGGAAGAAUGCCCUAUGGGUAGUAAACUGCUUUUGAACUAGAGAAAACCCCAGUACGUGUACUGGGCUGAUAGUAUAGUUAGAAUAAGCAUCGGCUAACUUCGUGCCAGCAGCCGCGGUAAGACGAAGGAUGCAAGCGUUAUCCGGAUUCAUUGGGUUUAAAGGGAGCGUAGGUGGACUGAUAAGUCAGUGGUGAAAUCUCCGAGCUUAACUCGGAAAUUGCCAUUGAUACUGUUGGUCUUGAGUACAGUUGCUGUGGGCGGAAUAUGACAUGUAGUGGUGAAAUACAUAGAGAUGUCAUAGAACACCGAUUGCGAAGGCAGCUCACAAAGCUGUAACUGACACUGAGGCUCGAAAAGUGCGGGGAUCAAACAGGAUUAGAUACCCUGGUAGUCCGCACCGUAAACGAUGAUUACUCGCUGCUAGGGGGCGAACCUUUAGUGGCUUAGCGAAAGCGAUAAGUAAUCCACCUGGGGAGUACGCCGGCAACGGUGAAACUUAAAGGAAAUUAGACGG